GUCAUUUUGCUCAAAGGAAAAAGUGCCUUCCAUCAUUUUUGACACACACGACAGAGUCUAGAAUCUGCUCUCGUCUUCCGUCUCUUCUAUUCCAACCGAUGGAGGAGUUUCAGUUCGCCUUCUUCAAACUUUCAACAAUACUCGUAGCUCUUUUCGUCUUCUUAUCUAUCUAUUAGAUUUCAGGCAUUAUUCGCUCAAUCCUUGCUCGCAUCUUCUUUGUUUUCUCUUUGUCUUCUUUUCUUUCUUUGCUACUUUUAGAUCUAUUUAACUGUUUUCAAUUUCAUGGAUAAAUUUCCUUGGAUUUUGUAUUUUCCAACCAGAUGAUGCGGAAUUACCAUUUUAAGGGCUAUUCUCCGUCCAAUUUCAUUGAUGUUGCCUUCUUCUUGCUGAUUCACCUCUAUCUCUUCUUCUUCAUAAGGUAUUGAAAUUUAUUGUUCUACUAACUUAAAACAAAAAGGAUAUUUAAUUUUACUCCUAAUUCAUGUUGUUCUUCCUUUUCUUUACAUUUUUUGUAUAUGUUAUAUUUCUAUGAAUUGUGAAUCGCGAGUAUGUUUUCAGGCUCUUCUUAACUGCCUCUGCGCACACCCCUCACUCUCCAUAGCCGAGGAAAAGAACAGUAAGAACUCAUGAUAACCUAAUUUUGAUAAAGCACUAAAAUUGGUGUAUGGGUUGAGAUUGAAAUAAAGUGAAUGAAUUAAGUCAAAUGGCUAUUGGGAAAAAUUUAUGCAUAUAAAUUUCUAUUGACAGAUUUUAUUCAUUAUUUCAUGUCUUAGGAAUGCUUAAUUAGGCUUAAGAUGAUUUGGGAACUUUUCUUAAAAGUUGUGUUCGAGCAACAUCUGAUUGUUUAAACUUAAAUUCAUUUAUCUGGCUACAAAUUUAUGGAAUAAGGAAGGUAUGUUAAAGGGCAUGUAAUGGGAUUGCUUUAUAUGAUGACUCAUUGUUGUUGAUGGGAUUUGAAAGUAGAGGAAUAUUUAAAAGUAGAGGAGUAGGAAGUAGAGCACCGAGGAUUGAUAAAGAUUGUAUGAAGUUGCAAGACACUAAUGGUCCAGAAAAAGGACGAGAAAAUAGCACAGAUAUCCAAAACUUUAAGAAGCAGACAAGAGGAAUAGAGAUGUAAGGACAUGUAUAAGAGGAUACCUAAGCCAAGGAAGUAGCUUAAUUUUUUUUAUUUUUUUAUUCCUUGUUUAUUGGCAUCCACUGAUACAAUGUGUGUUCAACUAUAAAUUAUAGUUGUUUGUCUUAUUGGAAAUUCUCAUUCACCCAUCUUUAAGCCUAAUUUGUCUUAUUUUCUACUGAUAUGUCCAUGUCUUAUUAUCAACAUAUGUUAUCUUCACCUAUACUUUCUUAUUAUUCUCUACUUUUAUGCAAUUUUAUUAGAAUAUUCUUUAAGUUUGUAUUUUAUUAAGAUAUUUUGUCCAAAAGUAUAAGUGACGGAUGGAUCUUUCCAUCUUGCAUACUUGACUGAUUGAUUCACUUGGUUACUUCUUGACAAUUGGUUUUUUCUCCUGUUAGUUCAGUACCGAAUGCAUAUGGAUUAUCAGGUUUGUAUAUUUAUCAGUGGAAAAUAUUAUUGCAUUCAUAAAUACACUUUGUUUUAACAUAAAUAUAGCAUGUAUUAAAACAUUCUUCCAUGAUGAUUACUUUCAACUUUUACAAAUUAAAACUAUUACAGGAACCUAGAAAAAGGAUUAUUUUCAAGGUCAUGAAAGAGUACUCAAAGGUCCUCCUCCAUCACUUCAAGUGGCAAAGGCUGUGAACUAUUUAACUUGGUACCCUUCUUUUUAUCCAUCAAGGCCUCUACAUGCUGCUCUUUACUUCCUUUUUGGGUGUAAGUUUUUUUUUCUUCAUAUUUAUGUUUAUCAUUGUGAUUAUUGAUGGUAAGGCCCAGCUCUCUUCGCAUUCAGUUUCUUAAAUCAAUUGGUGUGUUUGCUUUUGUGCUUUUAAUUUAUUUCAUCACUUUCAAGUUGUAGUUACAAGUUCAAAGAUCAAUUGAUUUUUUUUUAAUAUUCCGGAACAUAUGAUGACUAAUAGCUUGUUUGGCCAAGCUGCAAAAAUUAACUUAUUUUGAGAAGUGUUUUUUCUCAAAAGUGCUUUUUUCAAAAGUAUUUUUUGGUGAGAAUCAGUUUGUGUUUGGCUAAUUAAUUUGAAAAGCACUUCUGAGCAGCAAUUAGUAUUUGGCCAAGUUUUUAAAAACUGCUUCUAAGUGUAUUUUUCUUAAAAGUGCUUUUCAAAAAAGUGCUUUUGGAGAGAAGCUACUUUUUUCUGCUUCUCCAAAACUGCUUCUGCUUCUCCUCAAAAGCACUUUUCUUUCUUCAAAAAGCUUGGUCAAACACUUUAACUUUGAAAAAAAAGUACUUCUUUUAAAAAGAAAAGUGCUUUUGGCUUUGGAGAAGCUGGGCCAAACAGGCGAUAAGUCUAGCAUUCAAAAACUUUCCUCUUAGUUAGAAAAGGUAGUAUUGUAAUGCAUGAAAUAACUGGUGAUCGAGGAGGUUUUAUAUUCAUACUUUGAAAGUUCUAGCUUUGAUAUUGCCUAUUAUUUGUGGCUACAAGAGUUGCUUUAAUUUUUAUUUGGCUGAAUAGGUAGGGUGAUUUAUGAUACAAUAACAUGUCGUAGUAUGUACACUUUCGGAAAUAAGUACUUCGUAAAAUUGUACUAUUGUUAGGUAUUGAGUUUUAUUUGUGAAUUGAAGUAUAUAACUCUUUCGCACAGUGUAUUAAUACCAUGAGAUAUUUUUCCGUUCUAUGAGUUUAUCUACUAAGAUUAAGGACAAAUAAAAUAAGAAAUCAAGGAUAGUUUUGCAUAAUUAUUGUAGUGUAUUUGGUAACAGUGGCAUGGUAUAACUUUGUUUGUUUCCUUGGUUAUAAGUCUUUGCAAAUUAAAUAUAAUGUACUACAAAUGUAUUUAUAAAAAAGUGCAAUUUAUGCAAAAAGGGUGACAAGAACAAACCAAAAUUUUGAGGAAAAAAAAAAACAUAUUACCUAGGCUGAGUGCCAUUUCAAACAUAAGGUGCUCUUGCAGAUAGAAUAACACAAAAACGUCAUUAUUGUUACUUAGUUGAUCAACCAUUAGAAGUUUGUUGAUUGACCGUUGUUUGGGAAGUUCUAGAAUAAGUACCAUCUUGAGCUAACUAUCUUGAACACAAUUUUAUGUUUGAUUAUAUCUUCUUCAGUAUUUCGUGAACUCUAAAUUAUUUUCAUUGUUGACUCUGGUAGAAAUUGAUUAUUCAUCAAUGGGAGAUUUAAAAGAACCCCAUGACUGAGGUAUGUAUUAGGUCUUGAGCACUACCAGCUUACUCAAUAUAUUUAGAUAUAAAGAAUGUGUUUUAUUGUAAUUGUCUUGAAGAGUUUGUACUUGAAUUAAACUAUCUACUCAGUUUCCUUUCGAUAUUUGACUUAUGGAACUUCAGUUUGAUACUUUAUGUGAUAAAUACAGUCAAUAAAUCAAUCUAUCUAUGUCUUGAAACAGAGAAGAAACUUUUCAAUUAAGGUUUGUGAAGAAAAUGAGAAAAGCAAAGUGGAUCACUUUUUUAUAUUUCCCUUUUCGUGUAUUAGAAAAUUUUAUUAUUGACAAAGACCACACUAAGAUAAUGCUGAGAUGACAUAAAAGAAAUAUUAAUAUCAGUCCAUAUUUAUUCUUGCAGUGAUGACAAAAAAUAUAUCAAUGUAUUUACUUCAUAUCCUUAUAUGUUCUUUAUAACGAAUGAACUUUUUGUGUCACUUAAUAGUCAUAUGAUAUUAAUGUAUCUUUUUCUUUUAUAUGAGGGAAAGUAAAAUGCAUUGACCAACUUUUCUGGACAUCAUUUGCAUUUCACAUAAGUUGUGUCAGCAUUAGCUUAUCAAAGAAAACAUAAGGCUUAGCAUUUUUUCGAUUUUUUCGUUAAUUGUUAGGUGGUUAAAUCUUAAUGAUAGGAAGAUCCUAUACUGUUUUGAUAAAAUAUUAUAUUUGAUGUAUCUUUAGAUUGUAGUAACAGUGUCUUGCUAUAAAAGGCCAUAAUUUGACUCUUGAGUAUAGUAUUUUUCGAGUAGUUUAUUUGUGGUGAUCGCACUUAUCUCUUUAUGUCGUGAUAUUUUUCAAUUCUUGCUAUCAUUUAAUAUUUUCUAUCUCUAAAUAUUUGACUUCUUAUUCUCUACUUGGAAUAGGACAGGUUGUCUGAAGAACACAUAGUAGCAGAUGUAUGAAUGCAAUACACAAAAUAUUUGCCAUACUUUAUGUGGCUCUUAGUUGGACUAUGUUCUCUUUUGUUUAUAGUACAAACACGGAUAGCAACUGAUAUAUUUAGUUGAUCACGUAGCAUAAGAUAGUGGGUAGAAAACGAUGAAGAAAUAAGGCGUACUUGAGCUUGAGUUUGAUUUUGUAAGUAUAUUUAAAGGAAGUUGAAGAAAAGGAAAUAUUUAGCUCAAUUUUGAUAAAUCUAGGGAAG
Molecule: long non-coding RNA, 4421 nt
Filed under: Nicotiana tabacum (common tobacco)
Lineage: Eukaryota; Viridiplantae; Streptophyta; Magnoliopsida; Solanales; Solanaceae
Description: long non-coding RNA (NTAB_LNC002368)
Source: RNAcentral